UGGGGAAUAUUGCGCAAUGGGCGAAAGCCUGACGCAGCGACGCCGCGUGAGGGAAGAAGGCCUUCGGGUCGUAAACCUCUGUCUAGAGGGAAGAAACCAUUGAGGUCGAACAGGCCUCUUUGCUGACGGUACCUCUGAAGGAAGCACCGGCUAACUCCGUGCCAGCAGCCGCGGUCAUACGGAGGGUGCGAGCGUUAAUCGGAAUCACUGGGCGUAAAGCGCACGUAGGCGGUGUCGUAAGUCGGAUGUGAAAGCCUGGGGCUCAACCGGGGAACGG
This 277-nucleotide ribosomal RNA is filed under the name uncultured prokaryote. RNAcentral describes it as "partial 16S ribosomal RNA". It matches the Rfam family "Bacterial small subunit ribosomal RNA", at positions 355 to 623 of the family's 1533-position model. The record is from RNAcentral.